Molecule: long non-coding RNA, 719 nt
Organism: Corythoichthys intestinalis (scribbled pipefish)
Lineage: Eukaryota; Metazoa; Chordata; Actinopteri; Syngnathiformes; Syngnathidae
Exons: 5
Source: RefSeq, a predicted model, not a curated record
UGGGUUUUAAUGGAGUUUUGUGCUUGAAAUCAUACAGAAAUUAACCAUAUCUACAAAUGGCUAGUGACCCAAUUAAGCCAUUAUAUUUUGAGAAAGCUAAGUCCUAUAUAUAUAUAAAAAAAUUUCAAAAAAGCGUAACUGCUAAUCAUUGUUUUCGGGAGUGUAUGUAUAAAGUAUUUGGAAGUCAUUUUUCAAAGUUGUCUUUCUGUGCAUGUGCUUUACAGUUGGUAUACAACAUGGAGAAGAGGUUCCAGGAGAUUUUCAAUUUUAUGUCUAGGGGUGAAUUCCCUAAUUUAUAGUGAAUCUCAGAAAUGUGCUUUAAGAAGAUAUAUGCAGAAGCUCAAACUGAAGGUCCCGAACAGAAGCACGAUCACUGUUUAAUGAAGUACACUCGGCUUCAAUUGGUGCACACACAGGCACUGUUAAAACCAGAUCCUCAAUGUACUCCAGAAAUUAUUGGGAUGGCAUGACAGUGGACAUUGACUGAUGGGUCUCUGAAUGCGACGGAUGUCAGAGGACUGGUAACUCUUUGGCUGUGUGUGACACAGCCAUUACAAAGCAUUAAGGUGUCUGCUGUUUGGGAGUUGGUUGGGAUAGACCUGACUGGGCCUCUCCCAAAAACCAAGGAUGGCUUUCAGUACCUUCUUACUGCCACCGAUUAUUUUUCCAAACAUAGAUGCCCCCAAAGAAUCCUGUCCGACCAAGGAAGAGAAUUUGUC